UACCAGCACCCCGAGUGGUCGGGACGUUUAUUGGGCCUAAAGCAUCCGUAGCCGGUUCUACAAGUCUUCCGUUAAAUCCAACUGCUUAACAGGUGGGCUGCGGAAGAUACUAUAGAGCUAGGAGGCGGGAGAGGCAAGCGGUACUCGAUGGGUAGGGGUAAAAUCCGUUGAUCCAUUGAAGACCACCAGUGGCGAAGGCGGCUUGCCAGAACGCGCU
RNAcentral lists this ribosomal RNA (217 nucleotides) under uncultured bacterium. RNAcentral describes it as "partial 16S ribosomal RNA". It matches the Rfam family "Archaeal small subunit ribosomal RNA", at positions 474 to 691 of the family's 1478-position model. The record is from RNAcentral.